This 506-nucleotide ribosomal RNA is filed under the name uncultured bacterium. Its description in RNAcentral is "partial 16S ribosomal RNA". It matches the Rfam family "Bacterial small subunit ribosomal RNA", at positions 29 to 523 of the family's 1533-position model. The record is from RNAcentral.
AGUGAACGCUGGCGGUAGGCCUAACACAUGCAAGUCGAACGGCAGCACAGGAGAGCUUGCUCUCUGGGUGGCGAGUGGCGGACGGGUGAGGAAUACAUCGGAAUCUACUUUUUCGUGGGGGAUAACGUAGGGAAACUUACGCUAAUACCGCAUACGACCUACGGGUGAAAGCAGGGGACCUUCGGGCCUUGCGCGAUUGAAUGAGCCGAUGUCGGAUUAGCUAGUUGGCGGGGUAAAGGCCCACCAAGGCGACGAUCCGUAGUUGGUCUGAGAGAGUGAUCAGGCACACUGGAACUGGGACACGGUCCAGACUCCUACGGGAGGCAGCAGUGGGGAAUAUUGGACAAUGGGCGCAAGCCUGAUCCAGCCAUACCGCGUGGGUGAAGAAGGCCUUCGGGUUGUAAAGCCCUUUUGGUGGGAAAGAAAUCCAGCUGGCUAAUACCCGGUUGGGAUGACGGUACCCAAAGAAUAAGCACCGGCUAACUUCGUGCCAGCCGCCGCAGUAA